RNAcentral lists this ribosomal RNA (497 nucleotides) under uncultured bacterium. Its description in RNAcentral is "partial 16S ribosomal RNA". It matches the Rfam family "Bacterial small subunit ribosomal RNA", at positions 28 to 507 of the family's 1533-position model. The record is from RNAcentral.
GACGAACGCUGGCGGCGUGCCUAAUACAUGCAAGUUGAGCGCUGAAGGUUGGUACUUGUACCGACUGGAUGAGCAGCGAACGGGUGAGUAACGCGUGGGGAAUCUGCCUUUGAGCGGGGGACAACAUUUGGAAACGAAUGCUAAUACCGCAUAAAAACUUUAAACACAAGUUUUAAGUUUGAAAGAUGCAAUUGCAUCACUCAAAGAUGAUCCCGCGUUGUAUUAGCUAGUUGGUGAGGUAAAGGCCCACCAAGGCGAUGAUACAUAGCCGACCUGAGAGGGUGAUCGGCCACAUUGGGACUGAGACACGGCCCAAACUCCUACGGGAGGCAGCAGUAGGGAAUCUUCGACAAUGGACGAAAGUCUGACCGAGCAACGCCGCGUGAGUGAAGAAGGUUUUCGGAUCGUAAAACUCUGUUGGUAGAGAAGAACGUUGGUGAGAGUGGAAAGCUCAUCAAGUGACGGUAACUACCCAGAAAGGGACGGCUAACUACGUG